RNAcentral lists this ribosomal RNA (497 nucleotides) under uncultured bacterium. RNAcentral's name for it is "partial 16S ribosomal RNA". It matches the Rfam family "Bacterial small subunit ribosomal RNA", at positions 28 to 507 of the family's 1533-position model. The record is from RNAcentral.
GAUGAACGCUGGCGGCGUGCCUAAUACAUGCAAGUCGAGCGAACGGACGAGAAGCUUGCUUCUCUGAUGUUAGCGGCGGACGGGUGAGUAACACGUGGAUAACCUUCUUCUAAGACUGGGAUAACUUCGGGAAACCGGAGCUAAUACCGGAUAAUAUUUUGAACCGCAUGGAUCAAGAGUGAAAGACGGUCUUGCUGUCACUUAUAGAUGGUUCCGCGCUGCAUUAGCUAGUUGGUAAGGUAACGGCUUACCAAGGCAACGAUGCAUAGCCGACCUGAGAGGGUGAUCGGCCACACUGGAACUGAGACACGGUCCAGACUCCUACGGGAGGCAGCAGUAGGGAAUCUUCCGCAAUGGGCGAAAGCCUGACGGAGCAACGCCGCGUGAGUGAUGAAGGUCUUCGGAUCGUAAAACUCUGUUAUUAGGGAAGAACAUAUGUGUAAGUAACUGUGCACAUCUUGACGGUACCUAAUCAGAAAGCCACGGCUAACUACGUG